UCCAGCCUCUCCUCUACAUCUCUGUUAGCAAUCUGUGCCUGCUGUCUGCCUCUGACCUGAUUUUGCAAUGCAUUUUGCUCCUCCCAGUUAAGUAACAAUCCCAUGUGAUGUAGCCAUUACCGAAUAAAGUUGAACAUAUAUCUGCUUUGAUAUCUGGUUUGCUGCUGGAUUGUGGAUCUCUUCCAGUCUGCAGCAAAACUUUCAGCAUAAGGAUCACGGUCAGAGGACUGCACAGCUCAUCCUCCUUGCUGUUCCCACAUCUCCUUCUCUACAGCCAGAAACAUACAGUCUAGGGAGAAUCUACAGGUAACGGACGGGAUCUCACAGGUCUAACUAAAAAUGGAUUUUCAAAUGAACAUCGUACAUUCACACCUCCUUGGGCACCGCUGCAUGGAUGUAUGUGCAUAAAAGAAAAAAAGAAAGAACACAUCUACAGGCAUAAAUGUGACACAAUGUAUGGGGAAAUAUACAAUGUCACCUUCUAGCAUCCUUUUCUUACAGACGAAUACACUAUUUUAAACACUGAGUAUAUAUGACAAUUAUUGUGACCUGCACAGCCAUGAAAGAUAAGCUUAUUAUUCUUUCUGCAGAUCACACAUAAAUCAUCUGGUGAACUGGUCGUAGUAUACCACAGCCAACUGUGUACUCACGUGUUACACUAUUGCACUAUUCCACUUUCCUGUUGCAUUUAAAUAACAGUAUUCAUCAUCCCCUUUUGGAGCCUGCAAUAAACAGUAGAUGUGUGAAUAUGGAUUUUAAAAACGUGACAGCAAAAUUACCAACAGUGGAAUUUUAAUCUAAGAUUGCACUUGCAGAUAUCUGCAGUUUUUUUCACUUUUGUUCCAAUGAGGGCCACAGCGGACACUCCUUCUUCUCUGUUAUAUGACAAUGACCUUAAGGAACUAACAAGACAGAACGUAACAGAAGACAUGGAGCUGGAGCUUCUGGAUAAUGCCUUGUCCUCCACACUUGUUUUGGUGGUGGUGCUAAUUAUCAUCUUCACCUUGGUGGUGACAUCUCUGCUGACUUACUGCUUCCACAAAUGGAAACUCAAAGCCAAAAAAUUCCAGAGGGUACAGGAGGAGUAUCAAAGAGACCAAGAGAAAGUCAUGUCAUCAUGCAACUCUUGACUUCCAAUGCAGCUACAGUCCUGCAAUAACUGAGAUUUAGCAGAGUGCACUCAAGUAAAAACAUUGCUUCAACCUAAAAAGCUUAGUUUGAGCACUCAGACCAAUACCUAUGUAUUAAUGGAUCAUUCUCCAGCAGCUGUACCACAUUUUUAGAAACACGUAUAUGUAAUACAUGCAUAAGAUCAUGAUAUGGAAUAGCAUUCUGCCUUCAUACGAUGCUCUGUAGAGUAUUUAUACUAUGAACUACAAGAUGUCAGUGUCUUGUUGCAAUGCACUUUUUAUGUGUAAAAUAGAACACCACUAAGUCAGACCCACAAAUGUGCUACUGGAUUAUCACAGGUGUGAGUGUAGCAGAUUAGCAUAGUUCAAAAAUGAAAAACACAUGGCAUGAGGUAGGUUGCAGUGGGGCAAUCUGAAACUUGUCACCUGAAAGUUGGUGGCUGAAUAUGAGAAAAGCCUGUUUAGAAAUGAGUAUAUUUCUUAUACAAAUACUGAAUAAGGCUAAAUAAUAUUUAUUCUUUCAUACAAAAUUGCCAAGAUUUUGUAAAUAAUUUAAAUGUGCAUUAUAUUGUUUUUGUAUAUCAUGUUAAUUUAUCUUGUUUUAAUCGUUUACUAGAAUUAGCCUAUUAAGAUAAGAAUAUAACAUACAUUGCUGUUUGUAAGCAGUGCCAAAUUAUUGUCUGUGCCAAUUAAACAGGCAGACCUAGUCCUUCUAAUUGCGGUCAGCCCGUGUUGACUGCCAGUGCGACUCCUUUUAUGGAAAGAUACAUUUCAUACAAUAACUGCAGUUUAAUUAAUAAUUUUAAAUAGAAUGUAGCGCUUUUAUUUAUUUUUGCUGACACUAGCCAAUUAGUCUUUGUUGGCCUUAGACAUGGUAUUAUAGUGCUUUUGUGUGAAAUAAAUACAGUAUACAGGAACAUACUCUUUUUUCAGAAUCCUAUAUGUAGUACUACUAUCUGUAUUUAGUAUUAAGUACAUUAUUUAUGUAUACUGAAAUCCAAUUUUAUGUCACAUUUAAUCUAUUUCAUGUAAUCGUAAACAAUGAACAGUUUAUGCUUUAUCCUCUAUACCUGGCUGUCAAACAUGGUAAGUAAUGGGAAAAAUGAAUCUCCAAUACCAAUGUAAUUCCUCCUAAUCAGAUUUAGCAGACAUUAGGGAUCAGGGUGAGGCAGCAUAAAUACAUAUAUGUAUGUAAAUUUCUCAUGCACUCAUUUAUCUGCAGCCAGAUGGCUCCAAUCACUUUGCCAGGUAGAUGUAAUUCACACAUGGUGGCUUUUUAUACAAUCUAAUUUCAUAACAAAUCUCAUUAUCCUCAACCAGCUUUAUCUGAUUCAGUCAAUAAACACUAUUUUUAUUAUUAAAA
Long non-coding RNA from Pseudophryne corroboree (corroboree frog), 2493 nucleotides. RefSeq lists it as uncharacterized. The transcript is spliced from 2 exons. NCBI's taxonomy places the organism in Eukaryota, Metazoa, Chordata, Amphibia, Anura, Myobatrachidae. The record is from RefSeq and is a predicted model, not a curated record.